CAGUCGCCACGGUAAAACCGAGGGUGCAAGCGUUAAUCGGAAUUACUGGGCGUAAAGCGCGCGUAGGUGGUUUGUUAAGUUGGAUGUGAAAGCCCCGGGCUCAACCUGGGAACUGCAUCCAAAACUGGCAAGCUAGAGUACGGUAGAGGGUGGUGGAAUUUCCUGUGUAGCGGUGAAAUGCGUAGAUAUAGGAAGGAACACCAGUGGCGAAGGCGACCACCUGGACUGAUACUGACACUGAGGUGCGAAAGCGUGGGGAGCAAACAGGAUUAGAUACCCGCGUAGUCCCUGUCUCUUAUAA
RNAcentral lists this ribosomal RNA (301 nucleotides) under uncultured bacterium. Its description in RNAcentral is "partial 16S ribosomal RNA". It matches the Rfam family "Bacterial small subunit ribosomal RNA", at positions 509 to 809 of the family's 1533-position model. The record is from RNAcentral.